This 440-nucleotide ribosomal RNA is filed under the name uncultured bacterium. RNAcentral's name for it is "partial 16S ribosomal RNA". It matches the Rfam family "Bacterial small subunit ribosomal RNA", at positions 338 to 795 of the family's 1533-position model. The record is from RNAcentral.
CCUACGGGAGGCUGCAGUGGGGGAUAUUGCACAAUGGGGGGAACCCUGAUGCAGCGACGCCGCGUGGGUGAAGAAGCGCCUCGGCGCGUAAAGCCCUGUCAGCAGGGAAGAAAAUGACGGUACCUGAAGAAGAAGCCCCGGCUAACUACGUGCCAGCAGCCGCGGGAAUACGUAGGGGGCAAGCGUUAUCCGGAUUUACUGGGUGUAAAGGGGGCGCAGAGGGGGAUGCCAGCCAGGAGGGAAAGCCCGGGGCCCAACCCCGGGACUGCUCUUGAAACUGCGUGGCUGGAGUGCAGGAGGGGCAGGCGGAAUUCGUGGUGUAGCGGUGAAAUGCAUAGAUAUCAGGAGGAACACCGAUGGCGAAGGCAGCCUGCUGGACUGCAACUGACGUUGAGGCCCGAAAGCGUGGGGAGCGAACAGGAUUAGAUACCCUUGUAGUC